RNAcentral lists this long non-coding RNA (1702 nucleotides) under Homo sapiens (human). Its description in RNAcentral is "non-protein coding lnc-SRSF12-1:3". Lineage: Eukaryota; Metazoa; Chordata; Mammalia; Primates; Hominidae. The record is from RNAcentral.
GGUUGCCUCCUCCGCUGCUGACCUUGGGGAAGUAUCCGUUUUAUUUUCAGCCCAACAUAACAGCGUUAUCAUUUUAAAACAAAGAUUUCUAAGUACGCUGUAAGGAUUUCUUCCCUAGCAAUCGUGAAGAAAAUCAGUCUACAUUUAAAUUUUAUCUACUGAAGUAUGGCUCACGAUUCUUUCAUUUACUUGGUUCGGCAUCGCUGCUUAUUAGUCUCGGUGAUCAGAGUAAAAAUCAAAGUGACUUACUGAUUGAAUUAGCCCCUCGAUGUAUAAAAAGUUCUCCGUAAAUCCAUAAAUGGAAGUUGGAGUUUUUACUGAUUUCAUACUUGAAGGAUUGUGAGACUUUGGGAUCAGAACAUUGUGCCUGGUUACUUGAGGAGGCGGCAAGCCGGCUUGCGUCUCAAAGGGAGAAAGUGAAACAGCUCUGCAACAUAGAGUAUUUUGUUAGCUGCGCGUAAAUAGAAAUUUUUCGCGAUCUCCCCGCACUGCUCAACCACAAAAAAGAAUUGUGGCCAUAAUUUAUCAAGCAUUUAUGUUCCAGGAACUGUUCUUUACAUAGAUUGUCUCACUUUAACCUCACAACAACCCUUACGAAUAGGUACUAAGAAAAAUAGAUCAGACCUCAGCUCUGCGAAGUAGGCAGGCUGUCAUUCUCUUCCUUUCACUACUAAUGCCUGGGGCAAUUGUUUAAAGGCAUUUUGUUCCUGAUUAGCUGCCUACGCAUUAUCUUUAAGUUUCUGAAAUUUAAGAUACAAAGAACAAUGUAUAGCUAGUCAAGAGCCCACGAUAUUUUAAUGUAAAUUGGUAAACAAUUUAGGAGCUGCCUCUUUUCCUUUAAAAACCUACUUGUAACUUGCUAAUCCGAGUGUAUAUUCAGGGCAGCUUGAAUCUAUGGUCCUGGGUUGCAGUCCUCAAGCUUGGCCUGAUUUUGCCUCAGCUUCUUUUUGGAGGGACAGUACUGUAUUUUAUUCCCAUUUUACAGCUGGGGAAACAGGCUUAGAAAGGCUAAAGGACUUGUCAAAGAUCAAACGGUAAGUUAACAUCAGAAUUUGAUCUCCAGUCCAGGUACUGCAAGACAAAAGUUUUAAUUUUUUUUUUUUUUUUUUUGAGACGGCGUGUCACUCUGUGGCCAGGCUGCAGUGCAGUGGCGCCAUCUCGGCUUACUGCAACCUCCGUCUCCCUGGUUCAAGAGAUUCUCCUGCCUCAGCCUCCCUAGUAGCUGGGAUUACAGGCACCCGCCACGCCCAGCUAAUUUCUGUAUUUUUUAGUAGAGACGGGGUUUCACCUUGUUGGCCAGGAUGGUCUUGAUCUCCUGACCUCGUGAUCCGCCUGCCUCGGCCUUCCAAAGUGCUGGGAUUACAGGCGUGAGCCACCGCGUCCAGCCCUGCCACACUAGAUUCUACAUUAUUAGAAGACCACAGUAAUCUUACACUUCUGUAUCCUCACCGCCUCUACAAUAGUUUUCAGCUUUGGAGUAGUAAGCAAUUAGUAAGCAAUGAAACGUUUUAUGAUUGAUGGCAAAGUUGGACAGAUUGCAUAUCCAGAAAAAUGCUUCCCAAUCACUUUAUAAACUUUUUUUUUUUUUUAGACGGGGUUUCUUUCUGACACUCAGAUUGGAGUGCAAUGGCAUGAUCUCGGAUUACAGCAACAGCCGCCUCCCAGGCUCAAGAGAUCCUCCAACCCCAGCCCCCCACGCCCC